GCCUUUUCUGUAAUUUUUACAGACUUGUUUCUGUAAAACGCCUACAGCGCAGGUCUGUUAUCCUGAUUACAGACACGAGUCUGUUAAUAUUUAAGAAAUACAGAAUUUCGUCCGUAAAUAUGACAUACGGGUGUUUAAAUUAAAGUGACGUCAUCGGUCUUCCUGGGCGCCAUUACUGCGAAGACCGUUAGUUAGCGGCAAAGAGGAAUCCCUCAACAUCGAGCACUAUAGUUGAACACUACAGUCAAUACCAAACAUUGCAGUUUUAGGCACAGCUUAUUGCAUCCUUGAGUGUCAUUCCUGUCAUCUAUAGAGUGGGCUACCCAGCCUUUCUCUGGGUGCAUUUUUGAAAUUAACCCAGAUAACGCACAGAAAUCAUGAAAAAGAGGAAGACUCGAGUGUGCCAAAAAGUGGUAUAACUAAUCACUAAACUGUCAAACUUUAAAUGGACGAAGUACAGUUACAACAAUAGCAACAAUAUACCGGUACUGUGAGAAGGUAUACGACGGUAUAGAUGCCACAUUUUGGUUCAAGGUGCUUUAAAUUCUGGACCACGGUUUGGUUAACAUGGUACAGAUAUUUUAACUGUCCAUUUUCAUCCGAUGCAGAAUACUCCCCUGUAGUUCAUGUGACAAGAAGGAGAAAAGAUGGCUUUCGGCAAUGAAACAUGUGUCCCGCUGAAAGUACAUUCCCCUCCGGCGAACCACAAAUCACGGAUAUAGGAACAUUUUGAAUCAAAAACGUCAGAUGGAAAAGCAGUGGCUAGGGAGCUGGAAACACGUCCAAGAAGAAAUACUGUGAUAUGUAUCGUUGCAACCUAUGAUGCAAUAAUGUUCAUGCAUGCAAACUUUAGGGAUAGGCCUAUUGAGUUUAUGGUUAGUUUUUAUACACCAGCACAUAGUGUGUAUAAAAUAGGUGAUAAGGGACCGAGCCACAACCCUUUUAUGAGUGAUACUUUGUAAAUGAGACUUUAAACGCGCUGCAAGAAAUCUUUUUAAUGAAUCUUCUUAAUUAAACUUGAUCUUCUUAUUGUACUUUUGAUAAGAUGUCCGUUUACUUUAAUGGAAAAAUCUUUUGGUCAUUUAAUUUGUCCAUCAACAAUUUGGUACAUUUGUAAAAUUAUCCUCAGUUCAUUUUGUCUCUAAAUAUGCGGCCGUGUUGCAUAAACAUUAAAAUUGUGUAACUCUCAUCUACACAUUUCAUUUUGGGACUGGUUCAUUAACUUUGUCAGUAGUCGAGUUCCAUCUAAAUUUUUAUCUACGAGACUGAAUCAAUUUAUGCCAUUCUCACUAAGGAAUGUACAUGCUUAGGCAGAGUUAUUGUGGAAAAUUUAAUGAUAUACAUUUUCAAACAGAGAUUAAGCUAAUCAUUGAAACAAGCUGUACAUUUAAGGUGGAAUAAUAGGAAUUCUGCAUUGAUGCUGUUCUUGUUUUAAAGUCAUGAUACUUUUGGGGUUCAAUAAUUGUUAGAUUUUAAAUUGUUCAUUUAAACAUUUAGAAUGCAAAUUCAUUAAUUCCAAAAAUUUGAAUGAUUUCAUUAUUUCAUUAGAUCAUGUUUUACUGUUAUAAUUUACUUUCAUGUUGUUGAUGUUUUAAAUAAUAGAUUUGAGGUAAAUAUUACAACACCUUGGUUAAGAUUUUAGAAAAAGAUUUGAGGAUAAUUCUAUUGUAACACACUGAUUAUAUAUUUGUAGAAUAGAUUCAGAAUGUUGUUGUUCUACUAUAAAAAAAAUUCAUUUGAAUAUUAUAAUGUAAAUGUUACAUGUACAAGAAUUUGAAUGGAUAAUUUCAUUAUUGUUAAAUUUAUAUUUUGUUGCUACCCAUUAUUUGAUACAUCCAUGUCAAUUUUCACAUACAUUUUUUAAUUGCUGGGAAUUUUUGUUUGCUUGUCUUGUGAGAACUUGAUAAAUAUUUUGGAGAGUUAUUUCCCUUGUUAAUAGGGCAACAAAUUCUCUUCUUUUUUUUUAAAGUCGUCACUAUUCCAUGUACAAAUGAAUAUUAUAAUGUAAAUGUUACAUGUACAAGAAUUUGAAUGGAUAAUUUCAUUAUUGUUAAAUUUAUAUUUUGUUGCUACCCAUUAUUUGAUACAUCCAUGUCAAUUUUCACAUACAUUUUUUAAUUGCUGGGAAUUUUUGUUUGCUUGUCUUGUGAGAACUUGAUAAAUAUUUUGGAGAGUUAUUUCCCUUGUUAAUAGGGCAACAAAUUCUCUUCUUUUUUUUUAAAGUCGUCACUAUUCCAUGUACAAAUGUUCAUUAUUAUUAAUGAAGAAUUAUGAAAGGAGCUUUGUUUUUGUUGAAGUAUACCACCAAACUGCUUGACAGCCAAAGAAUAUGUUAGAUCUCUAAACAUUCUCCAUAUUGUAAUAUCAAAUCUGCUCUUGAUCAAAUGUGUUAAAAAUAUGAAUUUGUGGUUGACAGGUUUUUUUUUUUUUAAGGCAGUUGUUAGCUUUACUUACUGACAGUAAUCUCCAAUUUCCAGUAUUUUCAGGUCUUUUAUUAUAUCUUAAACUAUCAUGUAAAAGCAUUUUUGAGGAAUUAAUUGUAUCUUAUAUUGUUUUGAAUAAUUAAAUUCUGUUUUAAAUCUUAAGUAAA
Patella vulgata (common limpet) is the source of this 2590-nucleotide long non-coding RNA. RefSeq lists it as uncharacterized. The record is from RefSeq and is a predicted model, not a curated record. The transcript is spliced from 3 exons. Lineage: Eukaryota; Metazoa; Mollusca; Gastropoda; Patellidae.